Molecule: ribosomal RNA, 253 nt
Filed under: uncultured prokaryote
Description: partial 16S ribosomal RNA
Rfam family: Bacterial small subunit ribosomal RNA
Source: RNAcentral
UACGUAGGGUGCAAGCGUUAAUCGGAAUUACUGGGCGUAAAGCGUGCGCAGGCGGUUCUAUAAGACAGAUGUGAAAUCCCCGGGCUCAACCUGGGAACUGCAUUUGUGACUGUAGAGCUGGAGUACGGCAGAGGGGGAUGGAAUUCCGCGUGUAGCGGUGAAAUGCGUAGAUAUCGGGAGGAACACCUGUGGCGAAAGCGGCGCACUGGACCACAACUGACGCUGAGGCGCGAAAGCUAGGGGAGCAAACAGG